Molecule: long non-coding RNA, 166 nt
Organism: Sinocyclocheilus rhinocerous
Lineage: Eukaryota; Metazoa; Chordata; Actinopteri; Cypriniformes; Cyprinidae
Exons: 3
Source: RefSeq, a predicted model, not a curated record
CUCUUCCCAUCUUGGCAGAAGGAGAAGAAGAGAGUAGUUGAAUUGGUAAAGUGCUCGAUAGGGACUCGCAACGGAGGCAGGAAUCUAACCUAUCCUAAUGUGUGUGCGCGGCUGCGCGCCAUGAGUGUAUGCGUAAACACUUUUUAAUGAAACGUAAAUUCGUCCC